Molecule: ribosomal RNA, 253 nt
Filed under: uncultured Eubacteriales bacterium
Lineage: Bacteria; Bacillati; Bacillota; Clostridia; Eubacteriales
Description: uncultured Clostridiales bacterium partial 16S ribosomal RNA
Rfam family: Bacterial small subunit ribosomal RNA
Source: RNAcentral
UACGUAGGGGGCAAGCGUUAUCCGGAUUUACUGGGUGUAAAGGGAGCGUAGACGGCAGCGCAAGUCUGGAGUGAAAUCCCAUGGCUUAACCAUGGAACUGCUUUGGAAACUGUGCAGCUGGAGUGCAGGAGAGGUAAGCGGAAUUCCUAGUGUAGCGGUGAAAUGCGUAGAUAUCACGAAGAACUCCGAUUGCGAAGGCAGCUCACUAGACUGCAACUGACACUGAUGCUCGAAAGUGUGGGUAUCAAACAGG